AUUGAACGCUGGUGGCAGGCCUAACACAUGCAAGUCGAACGGUAACAGGAAACAGCUUGCUGUUUCGCUGACGAGUGGCGGACGGGUGAGUAAUGUCUGGGAAACUGCCUGAUGGAGGGGGAUAACUACUGGAAACGGUAGCUAAUACCGCAUAACGUCGCAAGACCAAAGAGGGGGACCUUCGGGCCUCUUGCCAUCGGAUGUGCCCAGAUGGGAUUAGCUAGUAGGUGGGGUAACGGCUCACCUAGGCGACGAUCCCUAGCUGGUCUGAGAGGAUGACCAGCCACACUGGAACUGAGACACGGUCCAGACUCCUACGGGAGGCAGCAGUGGGGAAUAUUGCACAAUGGGCGCAAGCCUGAUGCAGCCAUGCCGCGUGUAUGAAGAAGGCCUUCGGGUUGUAAAGUACUUUCAGCGGGGAGGAAGGGAGUAAAGUUAAUACCUUUACUCAUUGACGUUACCCGCAGAAGAAGCACCGGCUAACUCCGUG
This 490-nucleotide ribosomal RNA is filed under the name uncultured bacterium. Its description in RNAcentral is "partial 16S ribosomal RNA". It matches the Rfam family "Bacterial small subunit ribosomal RNA", at positions 30 to 507 of the family's 1533-position model. The record is from RNAcentral.